CUACGGGCUGCUCCAGUGGGGAAUAUUGCACAAUGGGCGCAAGCCUGAUGCAGCCAUGCCGCGUGUAUGAAGAAGGCCUUCGGGUUGUAAAGUACUUUCAGCGGGGAGGAAGGGAGUAAAGUUAAUACCUUUGCUCAUUGACGUUACCCGCAGAAGAAGCACCGGCUAACUCCGUGCCAGCAGCCGCGGUAAUACGGAGGGUGUAAGCGUUAAUCGGAAUUACUGGGCGUAGAGCGCACGCAGGCGGUUUGUUAAGUCAGAUGUGAAAUCCCCGGGCUCAACCUGGGAACUGCAUCUGAUACUGGCAAGCUUGAGUCUCGUAGAGGGGGGUAGAAUUCCAGGUGUAGCGGUGAAAUGCGUAGAGAUCUGGAGGAAUACCGGUGGCGAAGGCGGCCCCCUGGACGAAGACUGACGCUCAGGUGCGAAAGCGUGGGGAGCAAACAGGAUUAGAUACCCUAGUAGUC
This 464-nucleotide ribosomal RNA is filed under the name uncultured bacterium. RNAcentral describes it as "partial 16S ribosomal RNA". It matches the Rfam family "Bacterial small subunit ribosomal RNA", at positions 339 to 795 of the family's 1533-position model. The record is from RNAcentral.